GACGAACGCUGGCGGCGUGCCUAAUACAUGCAAGUAGAACGCUGAAGGAGGAGCUUGCUUCUCUGGAUGAGUUGCGAACGGGUGAGUAACGCGUAGGUAACCUGCCUGGUAGCGGGGGAUAACUAUUGGAAACGAUAGCUAAUACCGCAUAAUAGUAGAUGUCGCAUGACAUUUGCUUAAAAGGUGCAAUUGCAUCACUACCAGAUGGACCUGCGUUGUAUUAGCUAGUUGGUGAGGUAACGGCUCACCAAGGCAACGAUACAUAGCCGACCUGAGAGGGUGAUCGGCCACACUGGGACUGAGACACGGCCCAGACUCCUACGGGAGGAAGCAGUAGGGAAUCUUCGGCAAUGGACGGAAGUCUGACCGAGCAACGCCGCGUGAGUGAAGAAGGUUGUCGGAUCGUAAAGCUCUGUUGUAAGAGAAGAACGAGUGUGAGAGUGGAAAGUUCACACUGUGACGGUAUCUUACCAGAAAGGGACGGCUAACUACGUG
This 495-nucleotide ribosomal RNA is filed under the name uncultured bacterium. Its description in RNAcentral is "partial 16S ribosomal RNA". It matches the Rfam family "Bacterial small subunit ribosomal RNA", at positions 28 to 507 of the family's 1533-position model. The record is from RNAcentral.